AUACACAACGCUCUGCCACUCAAGAGAAUUGGGCAUCCCGUCCGCUCUGCCAUACACAAGCUUGAGAUCGGUGGAUUAGUAGUUGGGUGGGUGACCACCAGCGAAUACCCACUGUUGUAUGUU
This 123-nucleotide ribosomal RNA is filed under the name Pseudogymnoascus sp. VKM F-4515 (FW-2607). The record is from RNAcentral. Lineage: Eukaryota; Fungi; Ascomycota; Leotiomycetes; Thelebolales; Thelebolaceae.